Octodon degus (degu) is the source of this 806-nucleotide RNA transcript. It is a transcript of the gene named mitochondrial import receptor subunit TOM20 homolog pseudogene, with no coding region annotated. The record is from RefSeq and is a predicted model, not a curated record. NCBI's taxonomy places the organism in Eukaryota, Metazoa, Chordata, Mammalia, Rodentia, Octodontidae. The transcript has a single exon.
GGAGCGGGCCCGCUGCGCCGGGCACAGUGAAGUCGAAAGGAGAUGGUGGGUCGGAACAGCGCCAUCGCCGCCGGCGUGUGCGGGGCCCUCUUCAUCGGGUACUGCAUUUACUUCGACCGCAAGCGGCGAAGUGAUCCCAACUUCAAGAACAGGCUUCGAGAACGAAGAAAGAAACAGAAGCUUGCCAAGGAGAGAGCUGGACUUUCUAAGUUACCUGACCUUAAAGAUGCGGAAGCUGUUCAGAAAUUUUUCCUUGAAGAAAUACAGCUUGGUGAAGAGUUACUGGCUCAAGGUGAAUAUGAGAAGGGUGUGGGCCAUCUGACAAAUGCAAUUGCUGUAUGUGGACAGCCACAGCAGUUGCUGCAGGUGUUACAGCAAACUCUUCCACCACCGGUAUUCCAGAUGCUUCUCACUAAGCUCCCAACAAUCAGUCAGAGAAUUGUAAGUGCUCAGAGCUUGGCUGAAGAUGAUGUGGAAUGAAAACAAGUCUCAACAUAAUAAAAUCUCAAAAAGAUUUUAAAAAUUCUAAGCUCAGAAGUUGAACGACUGGGGGAAUAAGGGCAAAUAUGCUUAUUAGUGGACUGUCCUACACUGAAAUCUACCAAAGUUAAUGUUUACUUUGUGUAGAUACAUUUGUCAGUUAUUUAUUUUUCCCAGUGAAAAGUGUAUUUUAAUAGAGAGCUUUUCAUUUUAUAAAAACACUAUGAGUUACCAAAAUACGAAUUUUGUUUAUUCCUUAGCCUUGUAGUUAAAAUGUACAUAAACCAUUAAAAAACCCAAUGCUUAGUUUUAAAGAAUAGGCAAAA